Molecule: ribosomal RNA, 253 nt
Filed under: uncultured bacterium
Lineage: Bacteria
Description: partial 16S ribosomal RNA
Rfam family: Bacterial small subunit ribosomal RNA
Source: RNAcentral
UACGUAGGGGGCAAGCGUUGUCCGGAUUUAUUGGGCGUAAAGAGCGUGUAGGCGGCCAGGUAGGUCUGCUGUGAAAACUCGAGGCUCAACCUCGAGACGUCGGCGGAAACCAUCUGGCUAGAGUCCGGAAGAGGAGAGUGGAAUUCCUGGUGUAGCGGUGAAAUGCGCAGAUAUCAGAAAGAACACCCGUGGCGAAGGCGGCUCUCUGGGACGGUACUGACGCUGAGACGCGAAAGCGUGGGGAGCGAACAGG